Molecule: ribosomal RNA, 497 nt
Filed under: uncultured bacterium
Lineage: Bacteria
Description: partial 16S ribosomal RNA
Rfam family: Bacterial small subunit ribosomal RNA
Source: RNAcentral
GACGAACGCUGGCGGCGUGCCUAAUACAUGCAAGUUGAGCGCUGAAGGUUGGUACUUGUACCAACUGGAUGAGCAGCGAACGGGUGAGUAACGCGUGGGGAAUCUGCCUUUGAGCGGGGGACAACAUUUGGAAACGAAUGCUAAUACCGCAUAAAAACUUUAAACACAAGUUUUAAGUUUGAAAGAUGCAAUUACAUCACUCAAAGAUGAUCCCGCGUUGUAUUAGCUAGUUGGUGAGGUAAAGGCUCACCAAGGCGAUGAUACAUAGCCGACCCGAGAGGGUGAUCGGCCACAUUGGGACUGAGACACGGCCCAAACUCCUACGGGAGGCAGCAGUAGGGAAUCUUCGGCAAUGGACGAAAGUCUGACCGAGCAACGCCGCGUGAGUGAAGAAGGUUUUCGGAUCGUAAAACUCUGUUGGUAGAGAAGAACGUUGGUGAGAGUGGAAAGCUCAUCAAGUGACGGUAACUACCCAGAAAGGGACGGCUAACUACGUG